ACAAAAUAGGUUAAUUAAGAGGCAAUUUUUUUCAAUGUCACGUAUUUGCAAUGAAAAGUGUUCAAAACCUAAAAUCUUUUUGGCGUUCCUCUCAAAAUUACUUUGUUUUAGCUUUAUUCUCUAGUUUAUAGAGUUAGCUACCUUUUUAAAUGCAUCUGCCAGUUGAGAAACAUAAAAUAAUAGUUAAAAAUUGUCAAUUAAAAUA
Non-coding RNA from Paramuricea clavata, 205 nucleotides. NCBI's taxonomy places the organism in Eukaryota, Metazoa, Cnidaria, Anthozoa, Malacalcyonacea, Plexauridae. The record is from the annotation of a GenBank genome assembly.